UCCCUGCUGGCUCAGUUGGUAAAGAAUCCACCUGCAGUGCAGGAAACCCAGGUUUGAUUCCUGGGUGGGGAA
Molecule: transfer RNA, 72 nt
Filed under: Bos taurus (domestic cattle)
Lineage: Eukaryota; Metazoa; Chordata; Mammalia; Artiodactyla; Bovidae
Also listed under: 4 other names
Rfam family: tRNA
About the family: Transfer RNA (tRNA) molecules are approximately 80 nucleotides in length. Their secondary structure includes four short double-helical elements and three loops (D, anti-codon, and T loops). Further hydrogen bonds mediate the characteristic L-shaped molecular structure. tRNAs have two regions of fundamental functional importance: the anti-codon, which is responsible for specific mRNA codon recognition, and the 3' end, to which the tRNAs corresponding amino acid is attached (by aminoacyl-tRNA synthetases). tRNAs cope with the degeneracy of the genetic code in two manners: having more than one tRNA (with a specific anti-codon) for a particular amino acid; and 'wobble' base-pairing, i.e. permitting non-standard base-pairing at the 3rd anti-codon position.
Source: Rfam by way of RNAcentral